CCUACGGGAGGCAGCAGUGGGGAAUAUUGCGCAAUGGGCGAAAGCCUGACGCAGCGACGCCGCGUGGGUGAUGAAGGCCUUCGGGUUGUAAAGCCCUGUCGGGUGGAACGAACGAUCUGGCGGCGAAUAACCGCCGGGUGUGACGGUACCACCGAAGGAAGCCCCGGCUAACUACGUGCCAGCAGCCGCGGUAAGACGUAGGGGGCGAGCGUGGUUCGGAUUUACUGGGCGUAAAGCGUGCGUAGGCGGCGAAAUGCCUCGGCUUAACCGAGGUGACGCAUCCGCUACUGUCUGGCUCGAGUCUAGGAGAGGAAAGCGGAAUUCCCAGUGUAGCGGUGAAAUGCGUAGAUAUUGGGAGGAACACCGGUGGCGAAGGCGGCUUUCCGGACUAGUACUGACGCUGAGGCGAGAAAGCUAGGGGAGCGAACGGGAUUAGAUACCCGGGUAGUC
RNAcentral lists this ribosomal RNA (450 nucleotides) under uncultured bacterium. RNAcentral's name for it is "partial 16S ribosomal RNA". It matches the Rfam family "Bacterial small subunit ribosomal RNA", at positions 338 to 795 of the family's 1533-position model. The record is from RNAcentral.